CUUGAUUGAAGUCCCCUGAUCUUUUACAUACAGGAACAUGCAUGCAUCUUCAAGAAAACUCAUUUGUCCAGAAUAGAUGAAAACCCAGAGGAGUUUCAAAGAUCCUGGAGUUUCCAGUCCUGUUGUCCUGUUCAUCCAUGCAGCUGUGACCAAGAGAAUUACCCAAAGCAUUUCCCAAUCCCUGAGUGGCCAGCUGUUGACUUUAAUGACUCUGGACGAGAGAGUGAAGCUGGUGACUUGGGCAAUUCUACCACAAUUAAUCCCAGUUGAUGCACAAGUCAAGACAUUUCCAGUACUAUCGCUGAUCCUCUUCAAAAAUGAAGGAUGAACAACAACAGUGAAGAUGUAUCAGUCAUCAAUAAGCAUUUGUAAAUGUCCUUCUAUGUUCUAAGCAAUGGAGAUUUAGAGACAAAAUCAAAACAACAAAAAUCCUGGAAAAGCUUAAAAAAUAUAUUAG
RNAcentral lists this long non-coding RNA (457 nucleotides) under Monodelphis domestica (gray short-tailed opossum). Its description in RNAcentral is "lncRNA (ENSMODG00000036909.1)". Lineage: Eukaryota; Metazoa; Chordata; Mammalia; Didelphimorphia; Didelphidae. The record is from RNAcentral.